CCGCGUACACGGCCGGCUGCGACGCCGACCCGAAGGCGGUCGCCUGCGACUACCCGCCGUACACGCUCAACAAGAUCGUCUCGACGGACUUCGCCGAGAACGGCGGCGACGCCUACACGCUGAUCAAGAACUUCCAGUGGACGAACGAGGACCAGAACCAGGUCGCGGACUACAUCACCAACCAGGCGAUGAGCGCGGACGAGGCCGGCGACAAGUGGAUCGCCGACAACGAGGCGAAAUGGUCGGCGUGGUUGCCGGCCGGCUCCUGAUCGAUCACUGACGGCUGGGCGACGCGCCGUCGUGGCCCAGCGUCCCAACGGACCGAGCCUGCGGUGGUCCGGUCCACGCGAUAUCGUCCUGGUCACGCCGCGUUAACGAACCGGUCACAUGGUCUUGACGCCCGUCGACCUGAGUUGUGCAAUGCGGCGACCGAGCGUCGUGCAUCGUUUCCGCGGUGACGACAGGUCGCCGCCAGCCCAGACGGUGUCAGCGGGCUGAGGAGGGCCCGCGAGCCGGCAGGUAUGGGCGGAUGGCGAUCCGCCAUGACCCCGACGGCCGGGGCUGGUCCAUCGAUCACU
This 578-nucleotide unclassified non-coding RNA is filed under the name uncultured fungus. RNAcentral describes it as "sequence contains 18S rRNA gene, ITS1, 5.8S rRNA gene, ITS2, 28S rRNA gene". The record is from RNAcentral. Lineage: Eukaryota; Fungi.